RNAcentral lists this ribosomal RNA (507 nucleotides) under Ixodes scapularis (black-legged tick). RNAcentral describes it as "eukaryotic small subunit ribosomal RNA". It matches the Rfam family "Eukaryotic small subunit ribosomal RNA", at positions 606 to 1116 of the family's 1831-position model. The record is from RNAcentral. Lineage: Eukaryota; Metazoa; Arthropoda; Arachnida; Ixodida; Ixodidae.
AAAGUUGCUGCGGUUAAAAAGCUCGUAGUUGGAUCUCAGUUACAGGCGGGAAGUGCGUGGACACCACGUUACGGCCCGUGCUGAACAUCAUGCCUGUCGUGGCUUGGUUCCCUUCAUCAGGUGCCUUGCUUUGGCCGGCGCGUUUACUUUGAAAAAAUUAGAGUGCUCAACGCAGGCGAUUCGCCUGAAUAACUGUGCAUGGAAUAAUAGAACAAGAUCCUGUUUCUGUUCUGUUGGUUUUUGGAAUACAGGAGAAUGAUUAAGAGGGACAGACGGGGGCAUUCGUAUUGCGGCGCUAGAGGUGAAAUUCUUGGACCGUCGCAAGACGAACUACUGCGAAAGCAUUUGCCAAGAAUGUUUUCAUUGAUCAAGAACGAAAGUUAGAGGUUCGAAGGCGAUCAGAUACCGCCCUAGUUCUAACCAUAAACGAUGCCAACCAGCGAUCCGCCUGAGUUACUCAAAUGACUCGGCGGGCAGCUUCCGGGAAACCAAAGUAUUUGGGUUCCG